Molecule: long non-coding RNA, 277 nt
Organism: Arvicola amphibius (Eurasian water vole)
Lineage: Eukaryota; Metazoa; Chordata; Mammalia; Rodentia; Cricetidae
Exons: 3
Source: RefSeq, a predicted model, not a curated record
CUAAUACAAAUUUAGCGUUUAAUAAAUUAAAGAACAGAAUGUAGUAAAACCUUCUACAGGGGUGGGAGGUUUGUUCCACCUUCUCCCAGUUAUUAUUCUGGAAAUUAUAUUGUUAAAUCAUGAAAUCACAUAACCUGAAUUUAGACUUUCCAGAGAAACAGAACCAGGACUGUGGUUGGAGCUCAGCGGCGGACUAGCCUGCCAUGUGUGAGCCCAAGACAGGGUCUCCGUAUGUUGCCUUGUCUAGCCUGGAACUUACUACAUAGACCAAGGUGGC